Molecule: ribosomal RNA, 303 nt
Filed under: Triticum aestivum (bread wheat)
Lineage: Eukaryota; Viridiplantae; Streptophyta; Magnoliopsida; Poales; Poaceae
Description: partial small subunit ribosomal RNA
Source: RNAcentral
AUGUCUUUGCUAGCGGACCCCAGUGGUUCGUCAGGGAAGAAACUAGAAGAUCCCAGCGUUCUUCUGGAGAGGUUACACUUGGAAGAAGAUGAACUUGAUGAUCUGAUCUGGGAAGAGGAGGCAGAUGGUCCAGAGGAAAAACCUAAGUGGCUCGCGCUUGCUAGGGUUCUGACAGAAAAGACCUUUGGACAGGGUGCUCUAAUUGCCGACAUGAGGGCGGCCUGGAAUCCAGCAAAGGAUGUGAUAUGGCGUCGAAUUAAUCCAAACUUGUUCUCUGUCUAGUUUAAUUGUUUGGAAGAUUGG